Molecule: long non-coding RNA, 564 nt
Organism: Rana temporaria (common frog)
Lineage: Eukaryota; Metazoa; Chordata; Amphibia; Anura; Ranidae
Exons: 3
Source: RefSeq, a predicted model, not a curated record
CCAGCACGGGGCUGUGGUUGAUGAGGGGGAGGGAAAAGACGACACCUGGCACUAAUUGGCUUAGACCCUAUUUAAUGUGCCUUAUUUUCCUGGGUUUGGUAAUGAUCCCAGAAGAGCUCCCUCCACACACUGACAGGAUGUGAGCCCAUCCCCCCUCCCCCCCUUCUCGCAGGUUCACACCCGAGACUCCCUGCAAGCCUGUGUUUGGUUGACUCCCGCCUGGAGUGAUGGGGGACGUUCAUCAUGGGGAUAUCGGGAUCCUUUGUCUGCACCACGGCCAUCAUCUCUGGUUACAUGUCACCUUCUAUAUGCUUUGAGCGAAUACAAAUCCCCCUGAAGAAGACCAAAUUGUGGUCAAAACGCGUCGGGGUAUUCUUAUGGAAGCUACUUCAUCAAUGGCACUAUAUAUUAUUCCAUUGUAUCAUUUAACAUUUAAUUGUUGUUGAGAUAGGUCUCCAACUGUCUGUAACCUGAAUGUAUUUUAUAUUACAACUAUCUGCAUCUUCAUUACUCGUGAUACAGAAACCUAGUAAAGAAUUUUUUUUUUAUAUAUUUCCAUGUCUU